RNAcentral lists this long non-coding RNA (12692 nucleotides) under Gossypium barbadense (sea-island cotton). Its description in RNAcentral is "long non-coding RNA (GBAR_LNC022257)". The record is from RNAcentral. Lineage: Eukaryota; Viridiplantae; Streptophyta; Magnoliopsida; Malvales; Malvaceae.
GAGCAACCACUCAAUGGUUUCACCAUCUGAUUUGUGACCAAGCUCCCUUGUUAGCUGGAAAACCCUAGCAGCACACGUAGCCGGCAUGCGGAUGCGACGGCCUCGGCCUUCCACUUUGGUGUGCCGGUCCUUGGUCGAAGUCCUCUUAGGUGGAGGUUUCUUGGAGGGAGGUUCCAAGGUUGGUUUGGAGCUGGUGUCGACGUCGGCAGGGUCGGAACGAGGUUGUUCCUUCUUUUCUAGGAGCUGAAGAGGAAAGUUCGGCCUGCGGAUCCCAUUUUCAUCCAUGAUCAUGUAUGAGAGAGUGGGAUUAUAUCUUUUUGGUGGUUUGGCUCUCCUAGUACAUGAUCUGAAGGUGACCCUCAAUUCAGUGACUUUGAUGGCCUAGGGGGUCUCUUUCAUUUUUGCUAUAUGAUGUUGUGUUGUGUAGCUUGGAAUUCCCUUUAGAUGGGGAAGAUUGAAGCUGCUGAGUUGGUUUUCUUAUCUCUGCACAGACCAAAGAGAGAGAGGGGAUAAGGGGAAGAGGGCAAGCUUUAAGCAACAACUACAAUGAGUGAGAAUUAUGAGGGUGGGCUAUGAAAGAAAAGCAGUGACUUUUUUCGGAUGGGAAAUAAUUCGUUUCAUUGAGGACCUCUUUGUAAUUUUCUCUUUUCUAUACUUCUUGUGAAAUAAAAUAAAAUCAUAUUAUUGUGGUUGGAUAGUCCCUUGAUUCAAACUCCACGUGCGGUGCUCUUUUAUCAUUCAAUCCAUAAAGACAGUGGUGGGCCCCGCGUCACCUUUACUCAAAAAAACUCAAUCACUCUCUCUCCAUCGUUAAAUUAUACAAAAGAGAAAGGCAAAUUAUUUAGAUAUAAUAAAGUGGUCCCCAUUCCAUUCUUGUAAUCAUUGCCUUAAUUUUAAAACAAAAGUUUACCUCUAAAUAAUUCCAUUACUUGUUAAUGGUUUUAUAUUAAGUUUGAUUUUUCUUAAAAACUCUUCCAAGAAGAAAAUCCGUUUAUUGGGGAUGAGAGUGAAGGAUACUUGAUGAAAAAUCUUUCAGUAGAUUUCUGAGUCAAUACCCAACACUUUUCAGGUCUCCAUCUUUGAACAUGUGAGCCAUACAGUCUGCAAUAUUAUAUAUAUAUAUAUGUGUGGUCCUUGAAAGUAUUGUUUAAAAAGCUUAUAUACCCAAAAUAUGCCUUUUAUUCCAUUUUCCAUUAAAGGCUUUCAUCUCUAUUUAUUUUCAAGUUUUGUAGGAGCAGGGGAACAUUUCAUAAGAUCAAUAGUCUAAAUCUUCCGACCAAUUGAACGUUGUGCAUGAGGAAUGUGGUGUUAGAUAAGGUGAAAGAAUAUAAACUUUUCUUUUAUGCCAAAUUUUGUUGGGACAUAAUAGUAAAAAGAACGAAAAAUCAUUUGGAUAACAUAGAUAAAUAUAAUGUAAUUACGCAUUGUCAAUCAAAUACAUCUAAAGAAUUAGAAUUCUUUGUAAUUAUAAAAGGAUGUAAUUACUAGUUUAGUAAUUAUAGUUUUAUCCAAUUAUUUUGUGGUGUCUAAGCACACUCUAACUAAAAAAGAAAAUCUGGUUAAAAAAAUUAACCUAAAACUUUUAUUCAAUAAAUUAUCGUAUUAGUCCCUCUAGUAUGUUCAAACUUUAAAUUUAAUCAUUACACUUUAAUUUGGCAUAAAAGUGGAGUUCUAGUCUUAAUAUCUAAAAUCCCUUCUUCUUCUUCUUUUCGAGCAAUCAAUAUAUUUACUCAUACUAGUGUAAAACUUAACUAAUUUUACAUACUUAUAUAUGUAAAUUUUUAUACGACUAAUAUUUUUAUAAUUCAUCCGUAAGCAAUUGUUGAUGAAUAAAACAACUUGAAUUAUACCAUAUGUGUAUAUGUAUACAUAUAGUAAAUAAAAAAGACCCACCAGCAAAGAGGAAUGAGAGAGAAGGCAUAGCACGUCUAACCCAUGUGCCUAACAGGCCGAAGUGUAGCUUAAAAGGGAACAAAAACAAGCACAUUGCCUAAAAUAUAGCGACUUCCAAAAUCUAUUUCAACAACCAACAUACCUAACUAUCUCAUAAUUCCAUUUUCUUUUCCCCAUCUUCUCUAAUCAUUUUUUUCCCUCUAAAUCUCCACUAAUCACCCUUCUUCCUCUUGAUUAUGACCCUUCCUUAAUAUGUCACCUUUCUUGUUUUAACUUUUUCAUUUCUUUUUUGUUUUACUAAAUCUUCGUGAUGUUGAAGAAAAAAAAACCCCAGUACAUUGUCAUUUCAAGUUCCCUACACCUUAACAUGCAUGUAACAAAACAAUGGUGUGUACGCAGACAGUGGCAUUUGCCUCUUUGGAUAUAUGGUUUAAUUCUUUUUUAGUCCUCUUAAAAUUUAAUUAUUUUUAGCUUUUAUGUUAAAUGAAUAAUUCUUUAGCUUUAUCUUCCAAAAUUUUUAAUUUUAUCCUAAUCACUCUUGAGUUGAAGCCUUGUUAAAAGAAAAUCAUACAGCACAAUGAUUCUUGAUAUGAAACCAAUAAUGUUAAAGUUGUCCUGAUGAAGUACUGUUUAUUAUAAAGGAACACCACAUAGAAGAAUUAAUACUUUUUUUAUCUGAAACUUUACAAAUGGUAUAUGUUAUAACAUUAUCUCUAUGUAAGUAAUAAUAAGAGUUGAGGGUGUACGCAUGGACAAGGGAAGUUGUAUAAAUUCUAUUCAAUAUUACCUUUUUUAAAAAUAAUUAAAAACUAAUAUUUUCUGGCAAGCCGAUUGUAAAAAUAAAUAAAGGGUCUCAUAUGCAGUAUAUCUCACAUCGUUUUAUCUUUUCAUUCAUCAAAUUAUUGAUAUUAUUACUAUUUUUCAUGUCUAAAAAAAAAUGAAGUAAGUUUGAUCUAAGCAAUUUUAGCAUUAACUCUUGGACCAAUAAUAAUGGGAUUUGGACCACAGCAGUGAUGUACUAUUUUAUGGUUGCUGCACGGUACAAAAACAUGCAAUCAUCUUCAUUUCAAUACAAAGUGUUUUUUAUUUUUAUUUGGGUAAUAGAAGAAAUCCUAUGUGGGUGUUCCUCUUCCGCUUAAAUUUUUUAAAUUUCUCUUAAAUCAAAUUUUGCCUAAAUUCCAAACAAAGUUUAUAAAUAUAUGAGUGGAAAAUAGUCCCCCAUUGGGGAAGAGAUCACGUGGCUUGCCAUCUUUUGCCGGUGAUGCUGAUGGCUUACCCUCCAUUUUUGUGUUUAAUUAUUUAACCGGAAUGUUAGUUGUAAAUCACCCCCUUGAUUUCUUCCCUUUUUGGGUCAAGCUGGCCGCUCUCUUUCUUUGAAUAUCAUUAACAGCAAUCGGAUAAGAUGUUACCCUUUUAACAUCUGUUCAUAAAUGAGAAUAUUUCAGAAUUUUUUGAAAUUUUAUAUUUUAUUUUAUUAGUCUCCUCAAUUAAGUUUUAAUUCAAUUGGUAUUGAUACGUGGGUUCAAGUACGCUCAAGAGCAUUAUCCUCCUAUUUUAAUGGUGUAGAUAUUAUAAUAAUAGUAAUAAUAUUUUUGCUGUGUUUGAAUAGUGGGGUGACAAAUGAAUAUAAUUAUUAAAUGUGAUUAUAACUUUUUGUAUAAUUUGUAAUGUAUUUGAAAUGUUAUAUUCAAAUAGCAGAAGCAUAGUAAUAAAAGAGACUACCAUUCUAAUACGGAAACAAAAUUAGAUGGAAUCACAGCUUGGCUUCCUCCCAAUUAUAUCAACUUUCAUUUCUUUGGGAUAACUUCCAUCAAUUUCUUUCAUCCAUAAUUGUUUUGGAUUUUGUUUUUUUUUUCAAUUUCAUCCACCAGCUUAGUUUCCAUUAAGUAUGAUGAUGUGACACUAUGAUAUUUAUAUCAAAUCAUCAUUUGAAAAUUUAAAAACUUAUAUUAAAUCUAAAUAAAAUAUUAAAUAUUAUAACAUCUUUAUUUCUUUUUUUUAAAAAAUCAAGUGAUAAUAUGGUACAAUCUCAAAGUGUUACGUCAUCAUGUCUUAACAAAAUCUAAGUGCAUGGACCAAAUUGAGAAAGGUACAAAGUUUCAAGACUAAUGUGGACUAAAAAUGUUGCAAUUUUUUUUCAAUUUGGUCCUUGAACUUCUUUUGUACACACUCCACAAUAGUCCUAGAAUUUGGUAACUUUUCCUAACUUGGCCCAUGAACUUGGAUUCCGUUAAGUACGAUGAUAUAACACUCUGGGAUUGUACCAAACCAUCGCUUAAUUUCAAAGUGGUACAAUCUCAAAGUGGCACAUCAUCGUACCUUAGCUAAAUCCAAAUGCCAGUACCAAAUUAAAAAAAAAACUGCAAAAUUUUAAUACUAAUAUAGACUAAAAAAAUUAAAAAGGAGCAAGAUAGGAAAAAACUUCCAAUCCAACAACUAAAAGUUACUUUAUCUUAAUUAAUAAAAAAUUUGAUUUAAAAAAUUGACAGAUUAACUGUUUGGGAAGAAAAAGGCUGGCUAAAGCCAAUAAAGAAAUUUCCACCAUCAUCCAUGGCUGUAUGAAAGAAGAAGAGUGGGUCAUUUUCUCUUUUAAGACUAUUUCCUAUGACUUCUCUACCUUAUACUCUUUUUUCUUAUGUUCAUAUAUAUUUCUUUUUAAAAACAAAAAAACCCUUUUGAAACGCCUUCGAAAUUGACUCUAAAAAUUUUGUCUACAAAAAUGCAAUGGCCAAGUCAAGCAAAUAUAUAGAGAAGAAAAUUCAAAUGCAAAUAAAUGUUAGGCCUAAUUGAGUAGAAUAUUUUGUACAACAAAAAUUUUGAUUUAGAAAACAAUUUUAAGACCUACUAGGUGCUGCUGUUGGCUAAUAAAAUGCCAACUGAGUCAGAUUGAAUUUAUAUAUAUCAUUAAUUUAUAUUAUUAUUUAAGUUUAUAAUUGAAUUGGUAUCGACUGUUAUGAGUCGAUCAGAGAUCAACUCGAUUAGGGUAAUUAUAAAAAUAUUCUUCCAUAAUUAAAAUAAAUUAUAUUAUCUAAAUGUAUUUUAAUCUUUUUUUUAUUUUAAGAAAAACCAAUAAAAAGAAUAAAGCAUGAAAGCCAUACACUUGUUGAACACUAGCUAGUUGAAUCAUGCCUAUUUUCUCCACCGUGGUGUUGAUGUGAUCCUCCGGCCGGAGGCUCGGAAACACCAAUACCCGGAACUGGUCUAUAAGCGUUUAGUGACGCCAGCAUACUUAAAUGAGUGUCUGUAACUGAGCCGCCGCCGGCACCGAUUCCGGAACCAAAUUGUUGGGCAGGGAGGAGAGCCAUUGGAGCGGCUAAAUUCAUAAAAUGCACCCCACUAGACAUAGUACCCCUAUACAUAUUAGUGUUAUUUGUUGAAGGAAAUGUCCACAUGGGAUCCCCAGUGCCACUCCCACUGAUGACUUGGUUGCCGAUCCAAAAUGUCGCCGGGAUCGGAUUAUGACUUGUCGGAAUCGAACCCGUAUUAGAUUGUAUCAAGUAACUUCCCACCUGAUUUUGUGGCGAUUCUUGCUGCUCCGGCCUCCUCCUCUUCCCUAUACUAGUAUCCGCGGCCUCGGCGUCCCGAAUCUCUUGCUUUGCUUGCAAGAAAGCGUUCAAAGUAGUGCUACUAGUACCAGGAAAGGUCAAUGAAUCUUCAGAUGAUAAAGCAACACCAGGAAAUAAAACCCUUCGUUGCUGUUGUUGUUGUUGAGAUGAAUCGUCAAGGACAUUCCUUUGAUCCCAUUCAUUCCUCGUCCUCAAUUGUUGUGUGGUAAAAUUUGGAUUGAAAUAAGUGUUCCUUAAGUGUGAAGCCGACAUGCUAGAACCUGAACUUCUUAGUGAAAUAUUAAGGGACGUGAAAUUUGCAGGGAUAGUACCUGUCCCCGUGGCAGCAAAAACCGCAGGCUCAGCUUGUUGGAGCAACCACUCAAUGGUUUCACCAUCUGAUUUGUGACCAAGCUCCCUUGUUAGCUGGAAAACCCUAGCAGCACACGUAGCCGGCAUGCGGAUGCGACGGCCUCGGCCUUCCACUUUGGUGUGCCGGUCCUUGGUCGAAGUCCUCUUAGGUGGAGGUUUCUUGGAGGGAGGUUCCAAGGUUGGUUUGGAGCUGGUGUCGACGUCGGCAGGGUCGGAACGAGGUUGUUCCUUCUUUUCUAGGAGCUGAAGAGGAAAGUUCGGCCUGCGGAUCCCAUUUUCAUCCAUGAUCAUGUAUGAGAGAAUGGGAUUAUAUCUUUUUGGUGGUUUGGCUCUCCUAGUACAUGAUCUGAAGGUGACCCUCAAUUCAGUGACUUUGAUGGCCUAGGGGGUCUCUUUCGUUUUUGCUAUAUGAUGUUGUGUUGUGUAGCUUGGAAUUCCCUUUAGAUGGGGAAGAUUGAAGCUGCUGAGUUGGUUUUCUUAUCUCUGCACAGACCAGAGAGAGAGAGGGGAUAAGGGGAAGAGGGCAAGCUUUAAGCAACAACUACAAUGAGUGAGAAUUAUGAGGGUGGGCUAUGAAAGAAAAGCAGUGACUUUUUUCGGAUGGGAAAUAAUUCGUUUCAUUGAGGACCUCUUUGUAAUUUUCUCUUUUCUAUAUUCCAUUAUAUAAUUUGUAUGAUUUUCAUUAUGAAAAUAAAAUAAAAUAAAAUAACCCUAAGCUUUUAUUUAUUUAUAGAGAGAGAGAGAGAGAGAGAUCAUAUUAUUGCGGUUGGACAAUCCCUUGAUUCAGACUCCACGUGUGGUGCUCUUUACCAUUCAAUUCAUAAAAGACAGUGGUGGCCUAAGGCUGAGGCCCCAUCCCCUUAACUCUAAAAACUCAACCUCUCUCUCUCCAUACCAAAGAAAAAGCAAUUUAUUUAGAUAUAUAUGACAUAAUAAAGUGGUUCUCAUUCCAGUCUCGUAAUCAUUGUCUUCUGGCUUUGAUGUUAAUGUUUAAAUAAAAGUUUUGCAAUCUAAUUUACCGGUAAAUAAUUCCAUUAAUUUUAUGGAGGAUUUAAAGUGAUAUUAAUGAAACAUUGGCUGAAUAACGAAGUCCAAGUCUUGAAAUUUCAUAUCUCAUAUUCAAAUUUUAUUUUAGGCAUAUUUAUGGUUAAGGCUUAAAUGAAAAUUAAUUACAUAGAUCAAUUUAGAUAAAAUUUGAAGUUCAUAAUUUAAAACGAAUCAAACUUGAAUAAUUAACCAUGUUUGUACCUAACCCGAUUAAAUAAAAACCUCUAGUACAUAGUUCUAUUAUGAUCUUAAAUGUUGGUUGGGUGGAAAACAGGUUAGAUGGAGUUGAGACGAAAAUUAGAGUAGAGAUUUCUGUUUUGGUCUAAACUAGGAUUUAAUGUUUUAUUCAACUCUUUGUAAGUAUGGGAUAAGCAUUGAAGUUUAAAGGGAUAAGUCGAUCUGAAGUAUUAUAAAUUCUUUGGUGACCCACAAUCCAGCUCACAGAAUGAAAAGUCCUUCUCCAGUCACACUGGCAAAGUUGGUGGGUGGGCUGACACUGCCACAUCACUCUCUCGACAGUUGGAAUCUUCUUUAAGCGAUGACGUCAUCCACGCCACGUGGAAGCGUCAAGGUGGCCGCACCGCCUCCUCUUCUUCUUCCUCCCUCCAAAAUCUUAGGGCUGAUGUCAACAACACUGUGACAAUGGAGAAAAGAAAAGAGAGAAGAAGUUGGGUCACAUCAUAUCAUGCAUGACUUUUUAGCCACCGCUCUCUGCUUUUGGGAUUUCCGUUAUGCUUUACUGAAAAUGAAUGAAUGGAUUUGUGGGCUACAGCCUUAGCCUUAGGCUUUAGGCUACGCAUUCUAGUUAAAUAAACAAAUUUUAAUUAUACUUCUUACUAUUAAUUUUGAUUUUCUUUUAUCUUUUCCUACUCCAUUCAUCAAAAUCCAAUGAAGACAAACACACAACCCAAAAAGCCAUUUCUCCCAUAUAUCAAUAUGUAUUAAAACCUGUUUUAAUUUCUUAUAUUCCUUUUUAUUUCAAACUAAAAAAAUUUAAUCUUAAAAAUAUAAAUUAAAUUUAACCGGAAAGCCACCCCAAUUAUAAAUAAUUUAUAUAUAUAUAUGCAUUAAUAAUAACUUAAUGGGACCACCUAACCUCUAAAUUUCAAACUAGGUGAUUGUCACAUGAUUGACUAUGGAAUGAUUUGGGGAAAAGGGCUUUAAUAUUUUCCAAACUUUACACUAUAUACGUCAAGGUACUACUAUUAUUUUUCUUAUCCUUGAAGAACUAUUUUGGGGGUAAGUUCCAAACAACAUUGUCUUAGAGAAAACGACAAAUUAUAGAGCUCUAAAUAAAUAUGGUUGGCCGCCAGUGACUUAGGGAAUAAUAACUCAUAUAUACUGAAGUAAUAAUUAGUUGGAAAGUUCUCAAGAAGGAUGGAGGUAAAACGAAUCAUUUGAACUCUAGAUGACUCCAUUCAAAAAAUUUUAACUACUAAACUCAAAUCAUCCAAAACUCGAGCAAUUAAAACUUAAUGAAACUCAAGUUCAAAACUAAUUUAAAUCUAAAUUUUACACGUUCCUAAUUUGAUAUUUAAAUUUUUUUUACCCAAUUUAAUACUUGAAAAAUUUUUUUUAUCCAAUUUGAUACAUAAGCUUGACAACUUUUUCCUAACGGUGUUAUUUUUUUUUUAAUGAGAACAAAAACAACUAAUAUAUGACCAACAUGUGACCGGACAUGAAAUUUAAUGGCAAGAAUAAUUACAUUAAAGCUGAAAUUAUUGACUACUAAUGUCAAGAACGAUUCAAGAAAGACCACAUGCUUAAAACAUAGUCCGAUCUUUACAAAACUCUCAAUUCCACAAAAAUAUCAUCAAUAUUAGAGAAAAUGUGUUAAAUUUUUUUUUUCAUUAAGCUAUGGUUAAUGAAUUAAUAUUGAAUAAGAAAAUAAGAGUUUUAAAAACCAAAAUAAAAAAACCAUUAAUAAAUAAAUUAAAAUAGAAGUGAUUGAACAUUUAAAAUACAAAAAAAUCAUUCCAUCUACAACAUAUCAAUCAUACAUUAAUUUUUGUUACCUAAAAAUAUAACAUUGUUAGUAUAAUGAAAUAAUUUGCAUAACUUUCGACAAGUUCAAAUACCAAAUCAAACCAAAGCAAAAGAUUAGGUACCAAAUUAAGAAAAAGUGUCAAGUUCAUAUACUAAAAUUGGACUCGAGAAAAGUUCAAGUACCCAACUAAAAAUAAGUAUCAAAUUUGGAUACCAAAUUAAGAAAAAAAAUAUCAAAUUCACGUACCAAAUUGAAACAAAAAAGUCUAUGUACCAAAUUAGGAAAAAUAAUUGAGUUUAGGUACCAAAUGUUAUAUUAAACCAAUCUAAAAUAACCCAAAAAAAUCUAGAACUCAAAUUAACCUACCAUGACACAUUGAUCCGACCUGCCUAAAUAUGAGGUCUGUUUCACAGUAUUAAACCUCUCUUUCUGUAAAUGAAUCCUUCUGGGUUUUGGACGAAAUGCUUUAUUCGGGCUCCUUCAAAAUCACCAUCGAAUGAACACCACAGCCCAAAGAUCAACAAAAAAAAAUUACAUUAUUACAUUGUGGUGUGUGUAGUAUUACUUUUGACUAAAAGCACUCUUUUUACGGCAAAAGCAAUACUAAACAAAGUGCUUUUACCAUCAAAAGUCUUUCUAAAAGCACUGUUGAAAUUACAAGCUAUUACAUGAUACACAUGAAAAAUGUUCUACAAUUUCUAAAACGUGAUCACAAAGGGUUCAGGGACCCCAACAUAAAUAUAAAAACUGCCGAGGCAUAUAAAACAUCAACACUGUUUCAGGACAAAAAAGAGGUUACUUCUUUACCCGCCAAGUAGCAGCCUUUUAGCGCAUCUCAAACACUAGGGCUAAAAAGGCCCCAGUCAUUUGCUUUGAAGUUUGUAACAGCUAGUUUAAAGAUUUCAACCAUCGGCAUGAAUCCAGAUUGCGUCGCAGGAAUAGCUAAUCCUGCACCAACUGCACUAGCGCUUUCACUUAAUGGACUGCAAUCAUAAUAGAUGGUAGCAAAAGUAUCAUACAUAAAUGACUGUGUAAUUCCAAAGUCGAUGGGGCAAUCAGAACUUUUGGUCACAUUACUUCCCAACAAGUUAAAAAAGAAACAGUUACUGAAACAGGUUUUUAAUAUCAUGUUUGCUAUAUUAAUGUCUUAAAUGAUAAAAGAACAACAAAAUGAUAUGUCAUGAUAUUCCUAUACAGAAAAAACAGCGGUGAAGCGUUAACACUUACUUUAUCACAAUGGGCUCAUAUGCAGUGAUCAGAACAUCUGUUCCUACUUCCUUAAGACGUAUGUUUGCAAGAUAGACCUUCAUGGAUAUUCAUCAAGAAACCAUUUUUCAAUUUAGAACUGAAUAAAAACUGCGAAAGCUGAAAACACAAGAAAUGCUACCUUGAUAAUAUUCUGAGCUUCUCUUCCUUGCCGUCCCUUAGAAACAGCCUAUGCAUAGAAGGGAUUAAAAGAUAUGAGAGACAGAUGGGAAGCAAUGAAAGUCAAGAACUAAUAUCCAACCACCAAUCUAACUGGUGUUAUAGUAACCAGGCAUCAAGACACAUAUUACUGUCCCAGACAGUCUACAAUGAACCAUUUGACAGUCUUGGCAAUACAGACUAACAACAAUAAAGCAAUACCUUUUGCUUUGCUCUAACCAGGAGAAAUUGCAUCUGGUAUUGGGGCGGAUCAAUCAUAGCAAAAAGUUCAUGACAUUGAAGAUAAAGGACAUGCACCCAAAAUUUAAGAUUAAUUGUUUCAGAACUUCCCAACACAUGUUCAGACCAUUACCAACAGUUUUUUUACCUUGCUAAUAUCAUCUAAUCUUACAAUUUCAGUCCGUCAAUAAUCGAAACAUUAUGCAUCCCCUCUGUAUUAACAUAAAAAUAUGCUAGAGGCAAUCAACCUAAAUUUUAGCUUUUACACCCGCACAUGCAUAUACAUAAUAGCACACACAAUGAAUGAACACAUUAUCAUUUAAGUCAAUGAACAGCUCAUAGAGAGUAUCCAAUCUGACAUAGUCUGGUAGAAUUUAAAGGUUACUGUGCCAAGCAUGUAAAUUAAGAUGAUAGAAUGUUAAGAGUAAGAAAUAUCGAGACUCGAGGAAGAGAAUAAAGUUUGGCAAGGCAGAUAUUUGUGGACAGCAGAAAAUGAAAGUUGAAACUAGUAACAAUGGAACUCUAAGAAAAUGUCUGCUAAAAUGACUCGUACCAUUUGGCCAACUGCAGUUGUAACAAUGGCUGGAAUGUUUUUGUAACACAACCCAGGAGCCUCAACCACUGUUGACCGCUCAAGCAGCUGAAACAUAUAGCAAGAAAGAAAAUGUUAGGCCUACAACCAUAUCAAGUCUCAAACAGUUGCCAAGCAAAUAAAAGAAUGUGCAGAAACAAUGUACCGAAUGUCUUUAACAUCAAUUGGACCUAAGGAAAUAUGAAAGACAACCAGACCAAUGCAUAAAACACAGUAUCCUAAUUGUCAAAGAACAAGUAGAGCUUAUAGUUCUUAUUUCAUUAACAAUGAUAUAGCCAAUUAGCCAUACAGGCAAAACCAAUCAUUUUUUGAAUUGGGGGUAGGGGCAGAGAUGUGUGAAGGAUGGAACAAAGCUUUUGAUCCAUAGAACACAAGAAUCUUUCUCCUAGGCCAAGAGGUUAUCGGCCAAAAACCAAUCAUUCUCUUUUGUGGAGUAUACUCCAUAAUCCAAAAGAAAAUAAAUUUAAAAUAAAGAACCAAGAAUUAAAAAUGUAGUACAAGGGAAAAGAAAACUAUUUAGACCACUAUAUUUAGACCAGAUAUCCUAUAAAAGUUUGAGGGCAGUACUGUUAGCUACAUUAUAAUGCCAUAAACCAACAAAUCCUAUAUUGGGUAAUGGAACGAUGUAAAAUUCUCAAAUGAUAAGCCUAAAUCUGUAAAAUCAAAAUUGCUUUAAAUUACACUUUCCUAACUACUAUAGAAUCGAGGAAAUGACAUAAGAGAACAUAAAAGGCUACCGUGAAUCCUUCACCAUCUUGUUCAAUGGCAAGAUCUUGAAUAAACCAGACAGCACUCCCUUCAUCUCCAACGUCAUGCUUGUAAUCUAAUAACUCAAAUACUAAGCUCUCAUCACGUGCAGGGUCCACAAAAACCUCCUUUAAUUUCAACACACACACACACGAAAAGAAAGACUAUCAGAUAAAUAAACAAAUUAAAAAUAAAGAGUACCAAAAAGGAAAACAGAGAACGAUAUACUAACCUGAUGAUCGGGAACUUGCCUGAUGUUACUGACAUCCUACAAUAAUGAACAAUGUUAAAAACAGAGCUUAGUUAUAUAAUUAUUGUAAUUAUCUAGUUAUAAUCUCUCUACCAUGCUGAAAUUUAAGAUUUAAUCUUCUACUUUAAUUGGGCAUGAUUUGAUCUUCUCCAAACUGAAAACACUUAUUUAUUUGCUGCCGUUAAAUUGAUCGCAUGAAAUUCUUCUCAAAACAACCUUAAGUGCAUUUGACUUACAUUCGUUGAAUUUGAACAUGGUUUAAUAUUUUCACGUUACUCCGAUACUGUGAUAAAAAAAAUUAUAUGCCAUUACUUUUACAGAAAUCACUAAAAGUGUCAUCAAACGUUAUAAAAGACAAAAUAAUACCAAAUUAAAAUUGAAAAAUUAAAUUCAACAUGGUGGAAGGACUAAAAUCAGAAUUGAACCUACUAUAGAGCAUGAAAUUGAAGAAAAAAUAAAUAAAGUAACCUGAAACCUAAGAGGAAAAGUAGUUGAGAUUGCUCCACCGAACAAAGGCCUUUCAGAUAAUAAAUCUGCAGACAUUUUUACUGAAAAUGUCCACUGAACGGAAAAUCAAAAAAGAAAAAAGAAAUGGCGAAGAACAGAUUUUUACUA